UGGGGAAUAUUGGGCAAUGGAGGAAACUCUGACCCAGCAACGCCGCGUGAAUGAUGAAGGUCUUCGGAUUGUAAAGUUCUUUUCUAAGGGAAGAAGAAAGUGACGGUACCUUAGGAAUAAGCCUCGGCUAACUACGUGCCAGCAGCCGCGGUAAUACGUAGGAGGCAAGCGUUAUCCGGAAUGACUGGGCGUAAAGGGUGCGUAGGUGGUUUGACAAGUUGGUAGCGUAAUUCCGAGGCUCAACCUCGGCGCUACUACCAAAACUGUCGGACUUGAGUGCAGGAGGGGCAAAUGGAAUUCCUAGUGUAGCGGUGGAAUGCGUAGAUAUUAGGAGGAACACCAGUGGCGAAGGCGAUUUGCUGGACUGUAACUGACACUGAGGCACGAAAGCGUGGGGAGCAAACAGGAUUAGAUACCC
RNAcentral lists this ribosomal RNA (418 nucleotides) under uncultured bacterium. RNAcentral's name for it is "bacterial SSU rRNA". It matches the Rfam family "Bacterial small subunit ribosomal RNA", at positions 355 to 787 of the family's 1533-position model. The record is from RNAcentral.